GUAGGGAAUAUUGCACAAUGGAGGAAACUCUGAUGCAGCGACGCCGCGUGAGUGAUGAAGGCCUUCGGGUCGUAAAGCUCUGUCGCAGGGGAAUAACACAAUGAAGGUACCCUGUAAGAAAGGAUCGGCUAACUUCGUGCCAGCAGCCGCGGUAAGACGAGGGAUCCUAGCGUUGUUCGGAAUCAUUGGGCGUAAAGCGGAUGUAGGUGGCUAUGUAAGUCAGAUGUGAAAGCCUGGGGCUCAACCCCAGAAGUGCAUUUGAUACUGCGUAGCGUGAGUGUCGGAGAGGUUACUAGAAUUGUUGGUGUAGUGGUGAAAUACGUAGAUAUCAACAGGAAUACCGGAGGCGAAGGCGGGUAACUGGCCGAACACUGACACUGAGAUCCGAAAGCGUGGGGAUCAAACAGGAUUAGAAACCCGGGUAGUCC
Molecule: ribosomal RNA, 428 nt
Filed under: uncultured bacterium
Lineage: Bacteria
Description: partial 16S ribosomal RNA
Rfam family: Bacterial small subunit ribosomal RNA
Source: RNAcentral